This 253-nucleotide ribosomal RNA is filed under the name uncultured bacterium. RNAcentral's name for it is "partial 16S ribosomal RNA". It matches the Rfam family "Bacterial small subunit ribosomal RNA", at positions 524 to 776 of the family's 1533-position model. The record is from RNAcentral.
AACGUAGGGGACGAGCGUUAUCCGGAUUUACUGGGCGUAAAGAGCCCGUAGGCAGCUUAGCAAGUUGGACGUGAAAGCUCCCGGCUUAACUGGGAGAGGCCGUACAAAACUGCCAAGCUAGAGGUUGGAAGAGGAGAGCAGAAUUCCCGGUGUAGUGGUGGAAUGCGUAGAUAUCGGGAGGAAUACCAGUGGCGAAAGCGGCUCUCGGGUCCAGACCUGACGCUGAGGGGCGAAAGCGUGGGGAGCGAACGGG